Non-coding RNA from Podarcis lilfordi (Lilford's wall lizard), 72 nucleotides. Lineage: Eukaryota; Metazoa; Chordata; Lepidosauria; Squamata; Lacertidae. The record is from the annotation of a GenBank genome assembly.
GCCUGUGGUGCAAUGGGUCAGUGCGUCUGGCUGUUAACCCAAAGGUUGGUGGUUCAAGACCGCCCAGUAACA